This 253-nucleotide ribosomal RNA is filed under the name uncultured bacterium. RNAcentral describes it as "partial 16S ribosomal RNA". It matches the Rfam family "Bacterial small subunit ribosomal RNA", at positions 524 to 776 of the family's 1533-position model. The record is from RNAcentral.
GACAGAGGGCUCAAACGUUGUUCGGAAUUACUGGGCAUAAAGCGCACGCAGGCGGCUUGCUAAGUCGGGUGUGAAAUCCCCAGGCUUAACCUGGGAACUGCAUUCGAGACUGCAUUGCUAGAGUAUGGGAGAGGGAAGUGGAAUUUCCGGUGUAGCGGUGAAAUGCGUAGAUAUCGGAAGGAACAUCAGUGGCGAAAGCGACUUCCUGGACCAAUACUGACGCUCAUGUGCGAAAGCGUGGGGAGCAAACAGG